Molecule: ribosomal RNA, 446 nt
Filed under: Corynebacterium amycolatum
Lineage: Bacteria; Bacillati; Actinomycetota; Actinomycetes; Mycobacteriales; Corynebacteriaceae
Description: bacterial SSU rRNA
Rfam family: Bacterial small subunit ribosomal RNA
Source: RNAcentral
AGUGGGGAAUAUUGGACAAUGGGGGGAACCCUGAUCCAGCCAUGCCGCGUGUGUGAAGAAGGCCUUUUGGUUGUAAAGCACUUUAAGCGAGGAGGAGGCUACCGAGAUUAAUACUCUUGGAUAGUGGACGUUACUCGCAGAAUAAGCACCGGCUAACUCUGUGCCAGCAGCCGCGGUAAUACAGAGGGUGCAAGCGUUAAUCGGAUUUACUGGGCGUAAAGCGCGCGUAGGUGGCCAAUUAAGUCAAAUGUGAAAUCCCCGAGCUUAACUUGGGAAUUGCAUUCGAUACUGGGAAGCUAGAGUAUGGGAGAGGAUGGUAGAAUUCCAGGUGUAGCGGUGAAAUGCGUAGAGAUCUGGAGGAAUACCGAUGGCGAAGGCAGCCAUCUGGCCUAAUACUGACGCUGAGGUACGAAAGCAUGGGGAGCAAACAGGAUUAGAUACCCCGG